AGUGGGCUACACACAGAAAGGGGUUGUGGAAUGAAUAUUUUGAACCUUCCAUAAGCAAAAAUGAUAUUAUCAGUAAUGUACCAACUGGUAUAACUAAAGAUCAAUGGGCUAAUUUUGUUGCCUACCGCCUGAAACCAUCAACAAUUGAGCUUUGUAGAAAAAAUAAAGAAAUCCAGAGAAGGCAGACAAUGCCACACAUUGGUGGUUCAAAAGCUAACUCAAGAAGACGAUAUGAACUAGCACAACAUUAACUUAAAUAAUUUCCUUUUUCUUUAUUUAAACUAUUUUAGGAUAAUAUUUGUAAGUUGUAAUACAUUUAUUUCUUAGUUUCUAGAAAAUGGAAAAGCUCCUAAUCACAGAUAAAUAUUUAUUAAAACUAAAAAAAGAAAGAACAGAUAAUUUGUGAAAGAUGAGGCUCAGACUAUAGCGGAACGAAUUGAAUUGAAUAUGACUCAUUGUAGCAUCAAUGAGUCUAAUGUUUUCCCUGAAGAUAUUAUUGGCAAGAUAUUAGGGGCAGAGCACUCCAAAAGAUUAAUAUGUAUGGGCAUGGGAGUAGCUCUAUCAAACACAUUCAUGAAUCCCAAGCGGCGAUGUAGUGAGUUAAGCAUGUCUGGAGCAACUCAAUCAAACACAUUUAUGAAUACCAAGCGGUGAUGUAGUGAGUUGAUCAUGUAUUCAUCUAGAUAUGGUGAGCCAUCAACAAAUUCUACCUAAUUGUACCAAAAGGUUGUUCAUUUUGAGUCUCAAUUUGAAGUAACCCUAAAUGCGCUAAAGAAUUACAUGAUAUCAAAGGAAGGAGGGAUUCCUGAAGAAUUUGCUCGUCUGUUUACUCCUCAACCACAGUAUAUUCUCUGAAAAUAUUGGUCGUCUGGGAUCUUCAAUGGUUGGCAUGUCAUUCUCUUCUGAUUUUCCUCUACUCAGCCGAGCUCAGAAUAUGCUAUCUAGUGAAUUUGAGCUGGUUAUGGUGUCUGUCGCAUCACUUCAUUUUGUUGGUUUCUUUAUUGGGUAAGAUUAUCUUUGUUUCAAUAUAUUGGCCAUAUUUUGCAUCCAUGUGAUUGUGUCAUAUGAUGAGAUCUUUAUCAGGUAUCUUUCUGCUGCUUUGGCCGGUUUUAGUGAACCUAAAAAAUAAGCUGUAUCAAUCGAGGUAUAUUCUUGAUAGGAGUAAGACUCCCACACAUACUACUUUGUUAAAUUCUUGUCAAGCAUGGAAAAGAUCACAUUGAUAAUAGGUUACUAUUUUUAUUUUAGUAGCCCAGACUUAUUUAAGCAGUACCCUAUUUGAUCACUUUUGAAUGACACAUAUUUCUAAUGGAUGAAGCCAAUAUAUUCCCUGUUAUGAUUUACACUUUUGUUCUAAUUUUUGAAGUUAAGAAUUGCUCUUUGUUGAAAAAAAAUUAUACCCAGUGGAAUAGAGAUUGCCUCUCUAUAUCAUUUCCUUCCACAAACUCGUUCAAUUUCAACUAAAUUCAGGAAAAUGGUUUACAUAAUUAUCAUUUGAAAUGAACUUCAUCUUGAACUAGUUGUUACUUCCAACCAAAUGGAGCCUUAAACAGAAAAGAAGUUUCUCACUCUCUGUCCACUUAUUUUUCCCAUUAAUAUAGGCAGCCAAUGAUGUUAUAGUUUCUGUAUUCCCUUGUAGGUGGGCAUAUAAAAUUCUGCCAUGGGCGUGGUUUUAGAAACCUCCCAUUUCUCCUCACCAGCAGUUGCAUUACCUGCAACAACUUCAUCGAUCAUUAUGAAUGUAAUAGGUAGUUGUUUAGGUUUUUUUUUUUGGAGAUGUAUUAACACUAAUCAACCAAAGAGUAGUCUUGAAGUAACUGAUAAAUCAUGAAUAUUUAUGUUGAGCUAUAUUGUUUUUUUCUUACCAUUGUACACCUAUUGAUAAAUUUUUGUUUUUGCCA
Molecule: long non-coding RNA, 1901 nt
Organism: Capsicum annuum
Lineage: Eukaryota; Viridiplantae; Streptophyta; Magnoliopsida; Solanales; Solanaceae
Exons: 4
Source: RefSeq, a predicted model, not a curated record